This 1365-nucleotide ribosomal RNA is filed under the name uncultured bacterium. RNAcentral describes it as "bacterial SSU rRNA". It matches the Rfam family "Bacterial small subunit ribosomal RNA", at positions 28 to 1381 of the family's 1533-position model. The record is from RNAcentral.
GAUUAACGCUGGCGGCGUGCCUAACACAUGCAAGUCGAGCGGCAGCGAGUUUUACACUGAAUUCUGGGAGCUUCUAGUUUAAAGAGAAGAUUUAUUCAAGAAUUUUGUGUAAAAUGUCGGCGAGCGGCGGACGGCUGAGUAACGCGUGGGAACGUACCCCAAAGUGAGGGAUAACGCAUCGAAAGGUGUGCUAAUACCGCAUAUGGUCUUCGGAUUAAAGCCUUCGGGCGCUUUGGGAACGGCCUGCGUAAGAUUAGAUAGUUGGUGGGGUAAUGGCCUACCAAGUCGACGAUCUUUAACUGGUUUGAGAGGAUGAUCAGUCAGACUGGAACUGAGACACGGUCCAGACUCCUACGGGAGGCAGCAGUGAGGAAUCUUCCACAAUGGGCGAAAGCCUGAUGGAGCAACGCCGCGUGCAGGAUGAAGGCCUUCGGGUUGUAAACUGCUUUUAUAAGUGAUGAUUAUGACAGUAACUUAUGAAUAAGGAUCGGCUAACUACGUGCCAGCAGCCGCGGUCAUACGUAGGAUCCAAGCGUUAUCCGGAGUGACUGGGCGUAAAGAGUUGCGUAGGUGGUUCAAUAAGCGAAUAGUGAAAGCUGGUGGCUCAACCAUUCAGACUAUUAUUCGAACUGUUGAACUCGAGAGCAGAAGAGGUAGCUGGAAUUUCUAGUGUAGGAGUGAAAUCCGUAGAUAUUAGAAGGAACACCGAUGGCGUAGGCAGGCUACUGGGCUGUUUCUGACACUGAGGCACGAAAGCGUGGGGAGCGAACCGGAUUAGAUACCCGGGUAGUCCACGCCGUAAACGAUGGAUACUAGCUGUUUGGGGUAUCGACCCCCUGAGUAGCGAAGCUAACGCGUUAAGUAUCCCGCCUGUGGAGUACGAUCGCAAGAUUAAAACAUAAAGGAAUUGACGGGGACCCGCACAAGCGGUGGAUCAUGUUCUUUAAUUCGAUGAUAACCGAUAAACCUUACCAGGUCUUGACAUCCUUGGAAUCUUUCAGAAAUGAGAGAGUGCUUUUUAAGAGCCAAGUGACAGGUGAUGCAUGGCCGUCGUCAGCUCGUGUCGUGAGAUGUUUGGUUAAGUCCAUCGACGAGCGCAACCCUUGUCAGUAGUUGUAUUUUUCUACUGAGACUGCCCCGGUAACGGGGAGGAAGGAGGGGAUGACGUCAGGUCAGUAUUUCCCUUACGUCCUGGGCUAGAAACGUGAUACAAUGGCUAGUACAAUGCGCAGCGAAGCCGCGAGGUGAAGCAAAUCGCAUCAAAGCUAGUCCCAGUUCGGAUUGUAGGCUGAAACUCGCCUGCAUGAAGUCGGAAUCGCUAGUAAUCGCAGAUCAGCAUGCUGCGGUGAAUACGUUCCCGGGUCU